Molecule: ribosomal RNA, 253 nt
Filed under: uncultured bacterium
Lineage: Bacteria
Description: partial 16S ribosomal RNA
Rfam family: Bacterial small subunit ribosomal RNA
Source: RNAcentral
UACGGAGGGUGCGAGCGUUAAUCGGAAUUACUGGGCGUAAAGCGCACGCAGGCGGUUUGUUAAGCUAGAUGUGAAAGCCCCGGGCUCAACCUGGGAUGGUCAUUUAGAACUGGCAGACUAGAGUCUUGGAGAGGGGAGUGGAAUUCCAGGUGUAGCGGUGAAAUGCGUAGAUAUCUGGAGGAACAUCAGUGGCGAAGGCGACUCCCUGGCCAAAGACUGACGCUCAUGUGCGAAAGCUAGGGUAGCAAAUGGG